Molecule: ribosomal RNA, 492 nt
Filed under: uncultured bacterium
Lineage: Bacteria
Description: partial 16S ribosomal RNA
Rfam family: Bacterial small subunit ribosomal RNA
Source: RNAcentral
AGUGAACGCUGGCGGUAGGCCUAACACAUGCAAGUCGAACGGCAGCACAGUAAGAGCUUGCUCUUACGGGUGGCGAGUGGCGGACGGGUGAGGAAUACAUCGGAAUCUACUUUUUCGUGGGGGAUAACGUAGGGAAACUUACGCUAAUACCGCAUGCGACCUACGGGUGAAAGCAGGGGAUCUUCGGACCUUGCGCGAUUGAAUGAGCCGAUGUCGGAUUAGCUAGUUGGCGGGGUAAAGGCCCACCAAGGCGACGAUCCGUAGCUGGUCUGAGAGGAUGAUCAGCCACACUGGAACUGAGACACGGUCCAGACUCCUACGGGAGGCAGCAGUGGGGAAUAUUGGACAAUGGGCGCAAGCCUGAUCCAGCCAUACCGCGUGGGUGAAGAAGGCCUUCGGGUUGUAAAGCCCUUUUGUUGGGAAAGAAAAGCAGCAGGUUAAUACCCCGCUGUUCCGACGGUACCCAAAGAAUAAGCACCGGCUAACUUCGUG